AAGGCGACGAUGCAUAGCCGACCUGAGAGGGUGAUCGGCCACAUUGGGACUGAGACACGGCCCAAACUCCUACGGGAGGCAGCAGUAGGGAAUCUUCGGCAAUGGACGAAAGUCUGACCGAGCAACGCCGCGUGAGUGAAGAAGGUUUUCGGAUCGUAAAACUCUGUUGUUAGAGAAGAACAAGGAUGAGAGUAACUGUUCAUCCCUUGACGGUAUCUAACCAGAAAGCCACGGCUAACUACGUGCCAGCAGCCGCGGUAAUACGUAGGUGGCAAGCGUUGUCCGGAUUUAUUGGGCGUAAAGUGAGCGCAGGCGGUUUCUUAAGUCUGAUGUGAAAGCCCCCGGCUCAACCGGGGAGGGUCAUUGGAAACUGGGAGACUUGAGUGCAGAAGAGGAGAGUGGAAUUCCAUGUGUAGCGGUGAAAUGCGUAGAUAUAUGGAGGAACACCAGUGGCGAAGGCGGCUCUCUGGUCUGUAACUGACGCUGAGGCUCGAAAGCGUGGGGAGCAAACAGGAUUAGAUACCCUGGUAGUCCACGCCG
Molecule: ribosomal RNA, 540 nt
Filed under: uncultured bacterium
Lineage: Bacteria
Description: bacterial SSU rRNA
Rfam family: Bacterial small subunit ribosomal RNA
Source: RNAcentral